Molecule: ribosomal RNA, 459 nt
Filed under: Triticum aestivum (bread wheat)
Lineage: Eukaryota; Viridiplantae; Streptophyta; Magnoliopsida; Poales; Poaceae
Description: partial small subunit ribosomal RNA
Source: RNAcentral
AUGCAGUUCAAGCGGGCGUUGCUCAAGAGCCUGCUCCUGGGACUCCGGGAGCGUGGCGUCGCGUCGAGGGAGAUGGGCUUCCUAGAGAGGAAGCGCGCCAUCCGACGCGCCGCCGACGCCGCCCUCGCCUCGGCCCGGGGGGCCGACGCGACGCGCUGGAGCCAGGCGCUGGAGACGCAACGUCGGCCGUCGACGUGCAAGAGGAUCUUGAGGAGGUGCCACCGGCCGAGGCCGAGGAAGGCCGGCACGGCGGCGAGGCCGUGGGGCUCGGCCGGCGUCGUCGCGAGGGCCAUGGUGAGGAAGAGGACGCAGGUGUUGAAAGGUAUCGUCCCGGGAGUGGAAGCCGUGGACGAUGAGUGCACGCUGCUGGGCGAAGCCUUGGACUACGCCGUGUGCCUCAAGGCUCAGGUCGAUGUAAUGCAGCUUCUGGUGAGGGCUCUUCAAGCUCCGAAACAAUAG